UGCUCUCUGUACAUCUUCUUCCUUGAUCUUAACUGAUGAUACCUAGACUUCAGAUCUAUCUUGGAAAGGCAACUAGCUCCUGCUAGCUGGCUUAAAAUAGAUCGUCGAUCCACGGUAACAACUACCUGAUCUGGGUAGUGACUUUGUUCAACGACUUGUAGUCGAUACAAAGUCCUAGGGAUCCAUCCUUCAUCCUUAUAACAACACUGGAACACCCCAAGGUGAAGUGCUCAGUCAGAUGGAAACCCUUAACUACCAACUUUUACCACUGCUCUUAUAACUCUUUAAACUCUGAUGAUACCAUCCUGUGGGGAGGGAUAGAGUUUGGUCCAAUUCCAUGCAUUACUUCUAUUUUGAACUCUAUCUCCCUGACAGGUGAUAGUCCUGGGAACUCAUCUGGGGAAACAUCUAAAACUCUCUCUAACAACGGGCACUGAGGCGGGCUCCCUGACCUGACUGCUAAACUCUCUCUGAAGAGCUAGAACCCCUGACAACUUUUCCUGAAC
RNAcentral lists this long non-coding RNA (506 nucleotides) under Manihot esculenta (cassava). Its description in RNAcentral is "long non-coding RNA (MESC_LNC002906)". The record is from RNAcentral. Lineage: Eukaryota; Viridiplantae; Streptophyta; Magnoliopsida; Malpighiales; Euphorbiaceae.